AACGAACGCUGGCGGCGUGCUUAACACAUGCAAGUCGAACGGAAAGGCCCUGCUUUUGUGGGGUGCUCGAGUGGCGAACGGGUGAGUAACACGUGAGUAACCUGCCCUUGACUUUGGGAUAACUUCAGGAAACUGGGGCUAAUACCGGAUAGGAGCUCCUGCUGCAUGGUGGGGGUUGGAAAGUUUCGGCGGUUGGGGAUGGACUCGCGGCUUAUCAGCUUGUUGGUGGGGUAGUGGCUUUCCAAGGCUUUGACGGGUAGCCGGCCUGAGAGGGUGACCGGCCACAUUGGGACUGAGAUACGGCCCAGACUCCUACGGGAGGCAGCAGUGGGGAAUAUUGCACAAUGGGCGGAAGCCUGAUGCAGCAACGCCGCGUGCGGGAUGACGGCCUUCGGGUUGUAAACCGCUUUCGCCUGUGACGAAGCGUGAGUGACGGUAAUGGGUAAAGAAGCACCGGCUAACUACGUG
Molecule: ribosomal RNA, 468 nt
Filed under: uncultured bacterium
Lineage: Bacteria
Description: partial 16S ribosomal RNA
Rfam family: Bacterial small subunit ribosomal RNA
Source: RNAcentral